GAUGAAGAACGUAGCGAAAUGCGAUAAGUAAUGCGAAUUGCAGAAUUUCCGUGAGUCAUCGAACCUUUGAACGCACAUUGCCCCCCAUGGUAUUCCGUGGGGCAUGCCUGUUCGAGCGUCAUUUACCCCCUCAAGCUCCGCUUGGUGUUGGGCGUCUGUCCCGCUUCGCGCGCGGACUCGCCCCAAAGGUAUUGGCAGCGGUCGUGCCAGCUUCUCGCGCAGCACAUUGCGCUUCUCGAGGCACCGGUGGGCCCGCGUCCAUCAAGCUCACCCCCCCAGUUUGACCUCGGAUCAGGUAGGGAUACCCGCUGAACUUAAGCAUAUCAAUAAGCGGAGGA
This 338-nucleotide unclassified non-coding RNA is filed under the name soil metagenome. RNAcentral describes it as "partial contains 5.8S ribosomal RNA, internal transcribed spacer 2, and large subunit ribosomal RNA". The stretch from base 1 to 121 matches the Rfam family "5.8S ribosomal RNA", at positions 35 to 154 of the family's 154-position model. The record is from RNAcentral.